This 2778-nucleotide long non-coding RNA is filed under the name Cucumis sativus (cucumber). Its description in RNAcentral is "long non-coding RNA (CSAT_LNC002963)". The record is from RNAcentral. Lineage: Eukaryota; Viridiplantae; Streptophyta; Magnoliopsida; Cucurbitales; Cucurbitaceae.
GUCAAAUGGCCAAAUAAUAUGACCUUUCACAUAAAUACUUACUCCUGAAUUUUUUGAACAAUAAUGUUAUCGCUUCUCUCCCACGUUUCACGAAGGCCCUCAGCCAUCUGCCAAUUCCAAUAUAUGAAAAUUAUUUUACAUAUUAUAUUAAACAUUGAAAAUUCUUUUACGUAUUAUUUUUUUUUUUACGUAUUCCUAUUGAAGAAUCUCAUUUGAGCAUUUUGUGGUCAAUUUGACUUGACAGAAACAACAGAACUUUCAAUUAGAAGGAAGCAAGAUGCCCAGUUUUUUUGAACUGCUGUUUUGUUUUUUUUUUUUUGCUUCAAAUUGCUGUAAAUUGGAGAUGUUUUCCAUAACUACUUCGGCUUGGAGCCCUCUCUCUACUCCUUAUGUAAUUUUAAGAAAUAGAUAAAAUCCAAGUUAAACUAGAUAAGUGGAAAAGAUAUCUCUUUUUUUUCUCUCUCCCUCUUUACCGGCUGCCAUGCUGGGUGAAGAACUCUAAGCACCUACUAGGCGGGAAUGGGUUUUGCUUAGGCAAGAAAAGCGGAGAGGAUCCCCACGAAAACUCUGAAACCGAGGGAUCUCGGCGCGCAUUUUACUUGACCUACGCGGCUGGCUUGGCUCCCUCCUUUUUUUCUCUCUCCCUCUCUACCGGCUGCCAUGCUGAGUGAAGAACUCUAAGCAUCUACUAGGUAGGAUCAGGUUUUGCUUAGGCAAGAAAAGCGGAGAGGAUCCCCACGAAACUCUGAAACCGGGGGAUCUCAGCGCGUAUUUUACUUGACCUAAUCGGCCGGCUUGGCUCCCUCUUUUUUUCUCUCUCCCUCUCUAAAGACUACCACGCUGGGUGAAGAACUCUAAGCACCUAUAGGCGGGAUCGGGAUUUGCUUAGGCAAGAAAAGCGGAGAGGAUCCCCACGAAAACUCUGAAACCGGGGGAUCUCGGCGCGCAUUUUACAUGACCUAAGAGGCUGGCUUGGCUCACUCUUUUUUUGCUCUCUCCCUCUCUACAAGUUGCCAUGUUGGGUGAAGAACUCUAAGGACCUACUAGGCGGGGUCAGGUUUUGCUUAGGCAAUAAAAGCGGAGAGGAUCCCUACGAAAACUCUGAAACCGGGGGAUCUCGGCGCGCAUUUUACUUGACCUAAGCGGCUGGCUUGGGUCCCUCUUUUUUUUUCUCUUUCCCUCUCUAUCGGCUGCCAUGCUAGGGAACUCUAGUGACCCACUAGGCGGGGGCCGGGUUUUGCAACCCUUAGCAGCUUGGUCGUAUUGUUUUGUUUUUAUCGGCUGUUAUGUUGGGUGAAGAACUCUAAGAACUUGCCGACUUUGCUUUCUACCUGACCUAACAAUCAUAUUUUGCUUUCAAACAAUCUUAUACAAAUGUGUAUGACCAAAGAGGGAUUUAAAAUUAAUAUAAAAAAGGCAUUAGAAUAUGGCAAAAAAGGGAAUUAAAAUUGAGAUAAAAAAGACAACCGCACAUAUUAUUAUGUACAUAAUUCACAACAUUCAGAAAAUGAACUAAGUGUUCUACUCAUUUCUAAGCUAUCAAUAUAUGCAUUUUCAACAUAUGUAACAUAUUCAAAUAAAAAAUACAAUCACAAAUCCGAGCUCCAUUCUCAUGCGUUAGGCAUACAUGCUUUUUUAUGCUAAAAAGCGAAGUAGACAUGCUACUUAUUCUAAGCAUAGAGCAUUGCAAAAGUUUCUAAAUUUUGACAUUUUUAGAAAAUUUGCAAAAUGAAAAUUUCUCAAAGGACAUGGAAUGUGCAAGGCUACAACCCCACCCCCCACUUAAAAAUUUGCAUUGUCCUUAGAGCAUUUUAAGCAAGAUUCUACGGAUGGAAAAAAAAGAAAGAAAAAGGAGAACAGAAGACCUCCCCUUGUAACCUAGUUUCUUCAUGGAAGCUUGCUUGCAAAGAUCCCAAGUUUGGUUAUAUUUCAUUUUCCUUUAUUCCUACAAAAAGAAAACAAGAAUUUCCAUCGAAUUUUAUUAAAAAUGUUAAAUAAAAAUUUUAGAAAAAUGUGCAGAAUUGUUUAAGCUCGGUUGCAUUUUCUAAGCAUCACUUGAAUUAUUAAAACGACCUAACAAAUAUUCAAUACAAGUUCGUAAUUCAUAACCUACCAAAAAGUUCAAAAAGAUUGUUGUAGGUGUUCCACCAAACCUUUUGUAAAUUACAUACAUCAAUAAACUUACUUCUUAUAAGGGGGGGAAGAAACUAUGUUUUAGGGACAGAUGGCUCUAAAGCACACAAACACUCUCCAUCUCACUCUCUAUCUGCCCUGUAUCUAAUUUAAUCCAGCAUUCAUUUGGGGCAUUGUAGGUUCAUAUUAAAAAAUAAUCAUUCAUGUCGUGAUGCAAAGGCCCUUUUUAUGUAUCUAGAACUAAAAUCACGAAAAUCAUCGUGGACAUGCAGCACAAACAAACUGAAUAUCCAUGGGAAGCCUUUGCUAACAAAAUGGUUGACAAUAAUUACUCAGAUAAUAUGUCCUUUCACAUAAAUAUUUACUCCUGAAUUUUUUGAAGGAUAAUGUUAUCGCUUCUCUCCCACGUUUCACAAAAAGUCUUUUACAUAUUAUAUUUUUGUUACAUAUUCCUAUUGAAGAAUCUCAUUUGAGCAUUUUGUGGUCAAUUUGACUUGAAAGAAACGGCAGAACUUUCAAUAAGAAAGAAGCAAGAUGCCCAGUUUUUUUGAACUGCUGUUUUUCUCUUCUUUUUUUUUCUUUAACUUGCUGUAAAUUGGAGAUGUUUUCCAUAACUACUUUGGCUUAUGUAAUUUACCUUCUCCC